UAGGGAAUCUUCCGCAAUGGGCGAAAGCCUGACGGAGCAACGCCGCGUGAGUGAUGAAGGUCUUCGGAUCGUAAAACUCUGUUAUUAGGGAAGAACAAAUGUGUAAGUAACUAUGCACGUCUUGACGGUACCUAAUCAGAAAGCCACGGCUAACUACGUGCCAGCAGCCGCGGUAAUACGUAGGUGGCAAGCGUUAUCCGGAAUUAUUGGGCGUAAAGCGCGCGUAGGCGGUUUUUUAAGUCUGAUGUGAAAGCCCACGGCUCAACCGUGGAGGGUCAUUGGAAACUGGAAAACUUGAGUGCAGACGAGGAAAGUGGAAUUCCAUGUGUAGCGGUGAAAUGCGCAGAGAUAUGGAGGAACACCAGUGGCGAAGGCGACUUUCUGGACUGUAACUGACGCUGAUGUGCGAAAGCGUGGGGAUCAAACAGG
Molecule: ribosomal RNA, 429 nt
Filed under: Actinomycetes bacterium
Lineage: Bacteria; Bacillati; Actinomycetota; Actinomycetes
Description: Actinobacteria bacterium partial 16S ribosomal RNA
Rfam family: Bacterial small subunit ribosomal RNA
Source: RNAcentral